CGAAAGCCUGACGGAGCAAUGCCGCGUGGAGGAUGAAAGCCUAUGGGUUGUAAACUCCUUUUCUCAGAGAAGAAAUUUUGACGGUAUCUGAGGAAUAAGCAUCGGCUAACUCCGUGCCAGCAGCCGCGGUAAUACGGGGGAUGCAAGUGUUAUCCGGAAUAAUUGGGCGUAAAGCGUCUGUAGGUGGUUGACCAAGUCUGUUGUUAAAAAUCAGGGCUUAACCCUGAUCCGGCAACAGAAACUAGUAAACUUGAGUACGGUAGGGGCAGAGGGAAUUCUCGGUGUAGUGGUGAAAUACGUAGAUAUCGAGAAGAACACCAAUAGCGAAAGCACUCUGCUGGGCCGAAACUGACAUUGAGAGACGAAAGCU
This 370-nucleotide ribosomal RNA is filed under the name uncultured cyanobacterium. RNAcentral describes it as "bacterial SSU rRNA". It matches the Rfam family "Bacterial small subunit ribosomal RNA", at positions 376 to 761 of the family's 1533-position model. Lineage: Bacteria; Bacillati; Cyanobacteriota. The record is from RNAcentral.